UGGGGGAUAUUGCACAAUGGGCGAAAGCCUGAUGCAGCGACGCCGCGUGGGGGAUGAAGGCUUUCGGGUUGUAAACCUCUUUCGCUAUCGAACAAGGCCCGCUUAGGGUGGGUUGAGGGUAGGUGGAGAAGAAGCGCCGGCUAACUACGUACCAGCAGCCGCGGUAAUACGUAGGGCGCGAGCGUUGUCCGGAAUUAUUGGGGGUAAAGGGCUUGUAGGCGGCUUGUUGCGCCUGCUGUGAAAACGCGGGGCUUAACUUCGCGCGUGCAGUGGGUACGGGCAGGCUUGAGUGUGGUAGGGGUGACUGGAAUUCCAGGUGUAGCGGUGGAAUGCGCAGAUAUCUGGAGGAACACCGAUGGCGAAGGCAGGUCACUGGGCCAUUACUGACGCUGAGGAGCGAAAGCAUGGGUAGCGAACAGG
RNAcentral lists this ribosomal RNA (420 nucleotides) under bacterium. RNAcentral describes it as "partial 16S ribosomal RNA". It matches the Rfam family "Bacterial small subunit ribosomal RNA", at positions 355 to 776 of the family's 1533-position model. The record is from RNAcentral.